Molecule: non-coding RNA, 94 nt
Filed under: Lingulaulax polyedra
Lineage: Eukaryota; Dinophyceae; Gonyaulacales; Lingulodiniaceae
Source: RNAcentral
GUCAAAACUCGCCGCUAAGCAGAAGGCUCUGCAGAAACGUGCGAAGGGUGCGGGUCUCGACGCGUCGGUGGUGCUGAAGUGCACAGAAAAGGCG